This 127-nucleotide microRNA precursor is filed under the name Myotis davidii. RNAcentral's name for it is "mir-9193 microRNA precursor family". It matches the Rfam family "mir-9193 microRNA precursor family". The record is from Rfam by way of RNAcentral. Lineage: Eukaryota; Metazoa; Chordata; Mammalia; Chiroptera; Vespertilionidae.
CAUGCACCAGUGGGGGUCCCUCGGCCUGGCCUGCGGGAUCGGGCCGAAAACAGCUCUCCGACAUACCCCAACGGGUCCUGGAUUGCGAGUGGGUGCAGGCCAGGCUGAGGGACUCCACCGGUGCACA